Molecule: ribosomal RNA, 370 nt
Filed under: Linnemannia fluviae
Lineage: Eukaryota; Fungi; Mortierellomycota; Mortierellomycetes; Mortierellales; Mortierellaceae
Description: LSU rRNA
Source: RNAcentral
AAACGUUUGACACCAGUUAUGCGGGUGGAAAAUCAGUCUUUUGCAAUGGGGAGUUGUGGGCGUUCAGACCGCAAGGCUGGCGUUUGCUUCAUCUCUGUUGUAAGUGAUGCACUUUUUCAUUUGCAGGUCAACAUCAGUUUGCUUUGCUGGACAAAACCCCAAGGGAAGGUGGCAGCUUAGGCUGUGUUAUAGCCCUGGGGCGAUACAGUGGAGUGGACUGAGGUUUCGCAGUGUGUGCUCUCGGGCAAGGCUGACUGGGUGCUAUGGGAUCGUUCGGCGUACAAUGCAUGCAUUUUGCGUCGUGUCUUUUCUAUACUCGCUCAACUCAGCUCUUCCACGCUUAGGAUGUUGACUUAAUGGUUUUAAACGA